GAAGGGGUUACAAAGCACACACACACACACACACACACACACACACACACACACACACACACACUGCGUUCCCUGCGUGCUCUGCCUUUUACUCUCUUCAAGCCUCCCAUGCUACAAGCGAACUAAAACCCACAGCUGUAAUCAAGAUUGGAAACACGGUGUGUGUGUGUGUGUGUGUGUGUGUGUGUGUGUGUGUGUGUGUGUGUGUGCGUGUGGGCGAAGGUGAUUGUGCAACAUAGAAUGUGACAAAACCAAGGCUGCUGCAUUAUAUCACAAUUCUAAGAAUUCAUACGAUGAACCUGGUGUGUACGAUUCUGAUUGGUUGAUGUACCCUUAAGGGGGCGGGGUUUACCCUUCAUCUGUUUUAGAACACAUUUUGUAUGGCAUCGACUCGGUUGGCUUUAGACGAGAAAAGCGUUUGUGCAAAGACUCUGAGCUGAACGCACACACACAAAUCCUUAAGGCUCUGUCGAAAAAAACAAACAAAGAAACAAACAAACAAACAAACGAACAAACAAAACGCAAUCUGAAAAUCAGAAGAAACAAUAUGGAUUAAAUAAAGUUCCAGUCAGAUGUUUCGUAUGUCAGUGCAAUGAUAAGAUUGUAGUUUUAUGAACAAUUCUCAACGCCUUGUGUUCUCGUGCUACAUUUCUCCAAGAAUCACUAGUUACGCAAAAGAUUUGUGCACUGUUUUAACAUUUUCUGAAGAGGCGGGGCUACGUGUAAUCACUAAUCACAGGCAGAUGAGAGGGGGUGGGGCUUAAAAGUUGCAAACAUUAGCGACAAAAUAUGAAUUAAACGAGCGCGUAACGUCUCUAUGAACACGUAACGCAAAUCUGAGCUGAACGCUACACGUUUGACUACAGUUUCCAUCAGAGCACUGACACACGAUGAAGUCUGACGGGAAACUGACGUAUGGAAUAAAACCACGGGAAUAACCCGAGGUGCUCGGACUUGUGGUGUUCAACUACUUCUGAUGUUCAAGUGCAGUUUGUUAUUUUAAACAAAAGUUCAUUCAGUAAUCAUUGAAUCAUUCUAGCUCAACAACUGCCAUUCACAAUAUUGCUGUGUGGUGGAUCUGGCUAGUUUCUUUGUUACAGGCUUUUGCUAACGUUUUUCUGGUCCUGAAAUUAGCUCCGCCCCACAAUUGGAACAGAAUUGCUUCCCUCUUCUUUUUUUUUCACUCCCUAACAGGCAGCUCAAUAUGCAUAUGUGGCUUCAACAAAAGGACAUUACAUCGUCGCACUGCAAUUCAAUAUCACUCUCUCAGGCUGAAGAGGGCGCUAAAACUCACAAACUGCAUCUUUAAGACGAUAAAGAUUAUAAGUCCAUUUGCGUUUACGCUUUAAUACUAGACGUAGUGCGCGUUAUUGUGGUUAGCACGGAAUACCGGAUGAAACUGUCUAACAAAUCCUCCCUGCUUCAUUAUAUAGGCUCCGCCCCCUAUGUGCCUCAGAUUGUAUGUUCCCACCAUUGUUUCAACACAAACCCACCUUCACACACACCUUCACACACAAUAAGAAGGCCAGUGCUUUUUUUUCUUCUUUCUUUCCGUUAGCCUGAGAUCUAAAUGUACAGUUGCGAUCAAAAUUAUUCACCCCCCCUUUGCACAUCCAAGAAUAUUACUGAACUGGAGGAUUUGCUCAUGAGGAACGGGAGAAGAUUCCUCAGGAACGCUGCAGAAACUCCGCACCUCGUUUGCAGCAGGUCAUAACAGCAAAAUGAGCUCUACUAAGUACUAAAGGUGCUCGCCAUGAAGGGGGUGAAUAAUUUUGAGACUGGAGAAGUCAUUAUAAGUCGCAUUUUCAGUAGAAUUUGGGGAAACCACUUGAAGCGUUCGUUGUGUUAAACUAUUUCAGUUGUUUGAUUUGUUCGUCGCAAACAGUUGAAAGUCUGUACAUUUUGACAAUAAACCUGAUUUGCACUGGGGUGGGGGGGGGGGGGGGGGGUGAAUACUUUUGAUUGCAGCUGUAUAUCUUUCCUGUGUACAGUGUGAAUAAAGGACAAAAAAAAUCACACAGUUUGUGUGAUUUCAGUGACAGACGGAAACCAUUCCCAGGGCGUGUCCUGAGUGCGUGUGAGUGUAUGUGUUUCUGGCAGUGUUUUGAUUGCAGUACCGUGUGCCAGCCGAGACACAAAAGAUCGCCCGCCUGCGCCGCGUCCACGCUUCCAUCAGAAGGCCAGAACGUAAACCCGAACGUCCCCCUUUUUUUUUCUGCUUUCGUUUUGUUUGUUUGUUUUCUUUUUUUCUUUUCUUUUUUUUUUCCAAAAAACCCUACUAUGUACAAAUCUAUAUUUUCUACAAAUACAUAAAUUAAAACAGACAUAAAGCGGUACAAAAUGAAACGAAACCUAAUCGCACAACCGAGAAAAGAGGAAAAUAUAUAAACACAUAUAAACACGGCGUCACAGCGGUUGGUUGUUUUUUUUUUACCCUGUAAAAAAGAAUAGUCUACAUUAUCGUUAUCGUUAUCGUAACAGCAAUCGUAUCGCACGUAGCAUGACACAACUUCUAAUCAAAAAAUACCUUUCUCUUUUCCUUCCUGCAAGUUUUGAAACCUGCCAUCAGUGAGCAAAAGAACACAGCACUUUUUAAGCCAAACGUCAAAAAUAAAUAAAGUUUUUUUUUUUGUUUUUUUUACGAAUCGACAUGAACAAGUUCGCAAAAUAAUCGAGUUUCUGCCUCAAACACAUAGACUCUCUAUACAACACAACUGUACGUUUUUAUUAGCAUGAGGUAUUCUGAGACAUUUGGUAAAAACACUUACACGGCCCGCUACGGUGGACACGCCUACCAGCAAAAAGGGGCGGGGCUAGUGGUCGAUUAGUGUUGGGGAAGGGCUUGAUAGGGGAAAGAGGAGGAGCUUUGGUUUAUCAGCAAAAGAGAUGGAGGAAGAGAAAGGUAUGUUUUUGUUGCAUGGCUGCACUGGUGAAAAGCACCACAGUGAGAGAGAGAGGGAGAGAGAG
This is a long non-coding RNA of Ictalurus punctatus (channel catfish), 2967 nucleotides long. The record is from Ensembl. Lineage: Eukaryota; Metazoa; Chordata; Actinopteri; Siluriformes; Ictaluridae.